This is a long non-coding RNA of Rhincodon typus (whale shark), 341 nucleotides long. RefSeq lists it as uncharacterized. The record is from RefSeq and is a predicted model, not a curated record. The transcript is spliced from 3 exons. NCBI's taxonomy places the organism in Eukaryota, Metazoa, Chordata, Chondrichthyes, Orectolobiformes, Rhincodontidae.
UCUCAGAAAUAGAACCAAACGUUUUCCUUCGACCUUUCCUGGAGGUGAUCAGAUCAGAAGAUACUACUGGACCGAUCACAGGAUUAGCACUUACAUCGGUAAAUAAGUUCCUGUCUUAUGGAUUGAUAGAUCCCAGUCAUGAAGGUGCGGCAGAGGGAAUUGAAAACAUGGCUGAUGCUGUCACGCAUGCACGUUUUGUUGGCACGGACCCAGCAAGUGACGAAGUUGUUCUAAUGAAAAUUUUGCAGGUCUUAAGAACGUUACUACUCACUCCUGUUGGUGCUCAUCUAACAAAUGAGUCAGUCUGUGAAAUAAUGCAAUCAUGUUUUCGAAUAUGCUUU